CCUACGGGAGGCAGCAGUGGGGAAUAUUGCACAAUGGGGGAAACCCUGAUGCAGCGACGCCGCGUGAGUGAAGAAGUAAUUCGUUAUGUAAACCUCUGUCUUUGGGGAAGAAAAUGACGGUACCCAAAGAGGAAGCUCUGGCUAACUACGUGCCAGCAGCCGCGGUAAUACGUAGAGAGCGAGCGUUGUCCGUAAUUACUGGGUGUAAAGGGAGCGUAGGCGGGCGAGAAAGUUGAAUGUUAAAUCUACCGGCUUAACUGGUAGCUGCGUUCAGAACUUCUUGUAUUGAGUGAAUUAGAGGCAGGCGGAAUUCCUAGUGUAGCGGUGAAAUGCGUAGAUAGUAGGAGGAACACCAGUGGCGAAGGCGGCCUGCUGGGCUUUAACUGACGCUGAGGCUCGAAAGCGUGGGGAGCAAACAGGAUUAGAUACCCCUGUAGUC
RNAcentral lists this ribosomal RNA (439 nucleotides) under uncultured bacterium. Its description in RNAcentral is "partial 16S ribosomal RNA". It matches the Rfam family "Bacterial small subunit ribosomal RNA", at positions 338 to 795 of the family's 1533-position model. The record is from RNAcentral.